This 522-nucleotide ribosomal RNA is filed under the name uncultured bacterium. RNAcentral's name for it is "bacterial SSU rRNA". It matches the Rfam family "Bacterial small subunit ribosomal RNA", at positions 24 to 518 of the family's 1533-position model. The record is from RNAcentral.
UCAGGACGAACGCUGGCGGCGUGCCUAAUACAUGCAAGUCGAACGGUCUUUCUAUGGAAGCUUGCUUCCACUGAGAAGAUAGUGGCGAACGGGUGAGUAACACGUGGGUAACCUGCCCAUAAGAGGGGGGAUAACAUCCGGAAACGGGUGCUAAUACCGCAUAGUUUUCUUGAUCGCAUGAUUGAGAAAGGAAAGACGGCCUUUGUGCUGUCGCUUAUGGAUGGACCCGCGGCGUAUUAGUUAGUUGGUGAGGUAACGGCUCACCAAGACGAUGAUACGUAGCCGACCUGAGAGGGUGAUCGGCCACAUUGGGACUGAGACACGGCCCAAACUCCUACGGGAGGCAGCAGUAGGGAAUCUUCCGCAAUGGACGAAAGUCUGACGGAGCAACGCCGCGUGAGUGAAAGAAGGUUUUCGGAUCGUAAAACUCUGUUGUCAGAGAAGAACAAGUUGGAGAGUAACUGCUCCAGCCUUGACGGUAUCUGACCAGAAAGCCACGGCUAACUACGUGCCAGCCGCCGC